Long non-coding RNA from Oreochromis aureus, 520 nucleotides. RefSeq lists it as uncharacterized. The transcript is spliced from 3 exons. The record is from RefSeq and is a predicted model, not a curated record. Lineage: Eukaryota; Metazoa; Chordata; Actinopteri; Cichliformes; Cichlidae.
GUCAGUUUGGAUUGACACAACUGUGUCAAACAGGCCUGUUGUGACUCUGUAUCCAAACUGGUCUGAGAUAUACAGAGGAGAGACGAUCACUGUCAGAUGUGAGAUCCAUGGAGGAGACACUGAGUGGGAUUAUGAGUGGGAAACAAACAGCAUCAUAAAACCUCCAAAUCAAAAUGAAUACAGGAUUAGAUCUGCUUCAUCAUCCAACAGUGGAAACUAUCGCUGUAAGGGCAGAAUGAAAAGUUCACAGCAUAACACAACAGAGUGGAGUGAUUCAGUCACACUGACAGUUUCUGACAAUAAACCCCGUCCUGUCCUCACUGUGUCUCCAUCAUGGCUGAGUCCUGGAGCCUCAGUAACUCUGAACUGUCAGGUUGAACAUCCGUCUGCAGGAUGGAGCUUCUACUGGUAUAAAGCUGUUCCUGAUCUAUCAGAGAAAUCCUCCAGUCAUGAGCUGCUACCUGAUGGCAGUGGGACUGCACAGGACUCCUACAUCAUUCAUGGACAGACACACACAGCA